ACUCACUCACUCACUCACUCACUCACUCACUCAGAUCAAGUUCAUGCCACCAGUGACAUUAUUGAAGUUUGACGAGUGUCAACACCCCCCGAAAUUGACGUUCAACAAAUUAUGGAGGGUCAAAACUAUAUUUUCCUGAACAUGCCUUGCAAUUACAAGGACAGAAGGCUGGUAGACCAUCGGCAGCUUACGAUGCACCAGAAAGGGUUAAUCCUGGAGGUAGUGACAUGUUAGGGCUGUGUGAUCCUGGCCGGAGUCUGUAUGUUUGUGAGGAAUGUGGCAAGAGUUUCACUGAUCCUGGCACCAAGAAGGCCCAUAGGGAGGCCAUCCAUGACAAAAUAACCUACCUGUGUCCGUGUGGGAAGGUGUACAAAUACCGACGGGGAUUCCGUCAACACAGACACAUCUGUCAAAUUGCUCAGCGUGCAGAGCCUUACAAGCUGUUUGGGGACACUAUUCAGCACAACUAGAAACAAAAAUGAUUUCAAAGAAUUUCAGUUUUAUUAUGACUAGUGAAUAUUAGAAGAACUUAUUAAGACGUUCUGAUUUUGAAAAUGACAGGCAUUUUGUUAGGAUAUGUAAAGAAUUUAUGAAGAAUUUCACAUUUUCCAAAUGGCAGGUGCUUUGUUAGAAUAUGCAAUUGAUUUAUGAAGAAUUUCAGAUUUUCAAAUGAUAUGUGCUUUGUUAGGCUUUGCAAGAGGUUUCUGUAGAAUUUAACAUUUUUAAAAUGACAGGUUCUGUGUUGGAACAUGUAAGGACUUGAAGAAGAAUUUGAUAUUUUCAAAAAAGACUUUGGUAUGUUAGAAACUUUGCUGCAGUUUAAAGAAGUUAGUUUUCAAUUUAACACAUGAAAGUUAGAAAACUCAAGCUGAAAAAUAU
Haliotis rubra (blacklip abalone) is the source of this 879-nucleotide long non-coding RNA. RefSeq lists it as uncharacterized. NCBI's taxonomy places the organism in Eukaryota, Metazoa, Mollusca, Gastropoda, Lepetellida, Haliotidae. The transcript has 2 exons. The record is from RefSeq and is a predicted model, not a curated record.